UGCCCAGCAACUCCUAUCCCUACCUCCUCGUGUACUGGCCGGGGUACGAGUAACCUAAGGGAAGA
RNAcentral lists this ribozyme (65 nucleotides) under Aedes aegypti (yellow fever mosquito). RNAcentral describes it as "drz-agam-1 ribozyme". It matches the Rfam family "drz-agam-1 ribozyme". The record is from Rfam by way of RNAcentral. Lineage: Eukaryota; Metazoa; Arthropoda; Insecta; Diptera; Culicidae.